GAUGAACGCUGGCGGCGUGCCUAAUACAUGCAAGUCGAGCGAACGGACGAGAAGCUUGCUUCUCUGAUGUUAGCGGCGGACGGGUGAGUAACACGUGGAUAACCUACCUAUAAGACUGGGAUAACUUCGGGAAACCGGAGCUAAUACCGGAUAAUAUUUUGAACCGCAUGGUUCAAAAGUGAAAGACGGUCUUGCUGUCACUUAUAGAUGGAUCCGCGCUGCAUUAGCUAGUUGGUAAGGUAACGGCUUACCAAGGCAACGAUGCAUAGCCGACCUGAGAGGGUGAUCGGCCACACUGGAACUGAGACACGGUCCAGACUCCUACGGGAGGCAGCAGUAGGGAAUCUUCCGCAAUGGGCGAAAGCCUGACGGAGCAACGCCGCGUGAGUGAUGAAGGUCUUCGGAUCGUAAAACUCUGUUAUUAGGGAAGAACAUAUGUGUAAGUAACUGUGCACAUCUUGACGGUACCUAAUCAGAAAGCCACGGCUAACUACGUGCCAGCAGCCGCGGUAAUACGUAGGUGGCAAGCGUUAUCCGGAAUUAUUGGGCGUAAAGCGCGCGUAGGCGGUUUUUUAAGUCUGAUGUGAAAGCCCACGGCUCAACCGUGGAGGGUCAUUGGAAACUGGAAAACUUGAGUGCGGAAGAGGAAAGUGGAAUUCCAUGUGUAGCGGUGAAAUGCGCAGAGAUAUGGAGGAACACCAGUGGCGAAGGCGACUUUCUGGUCUGUAACUGACGCUGAUGUGCGAAAGCGUGGGGAUCAAACAGGAUUAGAUACCCUGGUAGUCCACGCCGUAAACGAUGAGUGCUAAGUGUUAGGGGGUUUCCGCCCCUUAGUGCUGCAGCUAACGCAUUAAGCACUCCGCCUGGGGAGUACGACCGCAAGGUUGAAACUCAAAGGAAUUGACGGGGACCCGCACAAGCGGUGGGGCAUGUGGUUUAAUUCGAAGCAACGCGAAGAACCUUACCAAAUCUUGACAUCCUUUGACAACUCUAGAGAUAGAGCUUUCCCCUUCGGGGGACAAAGUGACAGGUGGUGCAUGGUUGUCGUCAGCUCGUGUCGUGAGAUGUUGGGUUAAGUCCCGCAACGAGCGCAACCCUUAAGCUUAGUUGCCAUCAUUAAGUUGGGCACUCUAAGUUGACUGCCGGUGACAAACCGGAGGAAGGUGGGGAUGACGUCAAAUCAUCAUGCCCCUUAUGAUUUGGGCUACACACGUGCUACAAUGGACAAUACAAAGGGCAGCGAAACCGCGAGGUCAAGCAAAUCCCAUAAAGUUGUUCUCAGUUCGGAUUGUAGUCUGCAACUCGACUACAUGAAGCUGGAAUCGCUAGUAAUCGUAGAUCAGCAUGCUACGGUGAAUACGUUCCCGGGUCU
This 1372-nucleotide ribosomal RNA is filed under the name uncultured bacterium. Its description in RNAcentral is "bacterial SSU rRNA". It matches the Rfam family "Bacterial small subunit ribosomal RNA", at positions 28 to 1381 of the family's 1533-position model. The record is from RNAcentral.